AUUGAACGCUGGCGGCAUGCUUUACACAUGCAAGUCGAACGGGAACAGGCCUUCGGGUGCUGACGAGGGGCGGACGGGUGAGUAAUGCAGCGGAACGGGGCCAGAGGUGGGGGGUAACGCAGCGAAAGCUGUGCUAAUACCGCAGGGGAUCUGAGGAUAAAAGCGGGGGACCAGGCAGCAAUGUUUGGCCUCGCGCCUUUGGGUCGGCCGAUGUCAGAGUAGGUAGUUGGUGGGGUAAAGGCCGACCAAGCCGACGAUCUGUAGCUGGUCUGCGAGGACGACCAGCCACACUGGGACUGAGACACGGCCCAGACUCCUACGGGAGGCAGCAGUGGGGACUUUUGGACGAUGGGCGCAAGCCUGAUCCAGCAAUGCCGCGUGCGGGAAGAAGGCCUUCGGGUUGUAAACCGCUUUUGUACGGAACGAAAAGGCUCUGGCUAAUACCUGGGGAUGAUGACGGUACCGUAAGAAUAAGCACCGGCUAACUACGUG
RNAcentral lists this ribosomal RNA (492 nucleotides) under uncultured bacterium. RNAcentral describes it as "partial 16S ribosomal RNA". It matches the Rfam family "Bacterial small subunit ribosomal RNA", at positions 29 to 507 of the family's 1533-position model. The record is from RNAcentral.